Molecule: ribosomal RNA, 126 nt
Filed under: Gundelia tournefortii
Lineage: Eukaryota; Viridiplantae; Streptophyta; Magnoliopsida; Asterales; Asteraceae
Description: 5.8S ribosomal RNA
Rfam family: 5.8S ribosomal RNA
About the family: 5.8S ribosomal RNA (5.8S rRNA) is a component of the large subunit of the eukaryotic ribosome. It is transcribed by RNA polymerase I as part of the 45S precursor that also contains 18S and 28S rRNA. Functionally, it is thought that 5.8S rRNA may be involved in ribosome translocation.
Source: RNAcentral
UGAAGAACGUAGCAAAAUGCGAUACUUGGUGUGAAUUGCAGAAUCCCGUGUACCAUCGAGUUUUUGAACGCAAGUUGCGCCCGAAGCCAUCCGGCCGAGGGCACGUCUGCCUGGGCGUCACGCAUC